Molecule: ribosomal RNA, 464 nt
Filed under: Vreelandella stevensii
Lineage: Bacteria; Pseudomonadati; Pseudomonadota; Gammaproteobacteria; Oceanospirillales; Halomonadaceae
Description: partial 16S ribosomal RNA
Rfam family: Bacterial small subunit ribosomal RNA
Source: RNAcentral
CCUACGGGGGGCUGUAGUGGGGAAUAUUGGACAAUGGGGGGAACCCUGAUCCAGCCAUGCCGCGUGUGUGAAGAAGGCCCUCGGGUUGUAAAGCACUUUCAGUGAGGAAGAACGCCUGGUGGUUAAUACCCAUCAGGAAAGACAUCACUCACAGAAGAAGCACCGGCUAACUCCGUGCCAGCAGCCGCGGUAAUACGGAGGGUGCGAGCGUUAAUCGGAAUUACUGGGCGUAAAGCGCGCGUAGGUGGCUUGAUAAGCCGGUUGUGAAAGCCCCGGGCUCAACCUGGGAACGGCAUCCGGAACUGUCAAGCUAGAGUGCAGGAGAGGAAGGUAGAAUUCCCGGUGUAGCGGUGAAAUGCGUAGAGAUCGGGAGGAAUACCAGUGGCGAGGCGGCCUUCUGGACUGACACUGACACUGAGGUGCGAAAGCGUGGGUAGCAAACAGGAUUAGAUACCCUGGUAGUC